Molecule: ribosomal RNA, 440 nt
Filed under: uncultured bacterium
Lineage: Bacteria
Description: partial 16S ribosomal RNA
Rfam family: Bacterial small subunit ribosomal RNA
Source: RNAcentral
CCUACGGGAGGCAGCAGUGGGGAAUAUUGCACAAUGGGGGAAACCCUGAUGCAGCGAUGCCGCGUGAAGGAAGAAGGUUUUCGGAUUGUAAACUCCUUUUAUCAGGGACGAUAAUGACGGUACCUAAAGAAAAAGCUCCAGCUAACUACGUGCCAGCAGCCGCGGUAAUACGUAGGGAGCGAGCGGUGUCCGGAAUUACGGGGUGGAAAGGGAGCGUAGGCGGGACGGCAAGUCAGAUGUGAAAACUGAGGGGUCAACCUUCAGACUGCAUUUGAAACUGCUGUUCUUGAGUGAAGUAGAGGUAAGCGGAAUUCGUAGUGUAGCGGUGAAAUGCGUAGAUAUUAGGAGGAACAUCGGUGGCGAAGGCGGCUUACUGGGCUUUUACUGACGCUGAGGCUCGAAAGCGUGGGGAGCAAACAGGAUUAGAUACCCCAGUAGUC